GCAAUCACUCCUUUCUUCAUUUUCCACCAAAGCUUCUUCAUCUUCCUCCUUUAAUCGAAUACACCUGCAUCAUCUUCUUCUUCAUGACAGCGUAUGAAUCACCAAACCUCAGCUUCUUCAUCUACCACUACCCCUGCAAAUAUUACACAAACAUACCAUACAAAGAAGAAAACAGUGGUAUGGAACCUCACCUCAGCUGACCUUUCUCUUCUUCACACCUAUUUCAGUCACCUUUCUCUUCCUUCUUCUCUUCCGCAC
RNAcentral lists this long non-coding RNA (258 nucleotides) under Vigna radiata. RNAcentral's name for it is "long non-coding RNA (VRAD_LNC001269)". Lineage: Eukaryota; Viridiplantae; Streptophyta; Magnoliopsida; Fabales; Fabaceae. The record is from RNAcentral.